UGGUCUAGUGCUAUGAAGGGAGUUCUUUUGGAGCUCUGCCUCGUGUUGUUUCAUGAACGCCUAUGAACAAGAUGCUCUACAUGCCAUACGUAAUUUACGAGGUCUACACACUGUCAUUAUGUUGACCAUGUGUGACAAGGGCUAGGCAAAUAUUUAUCAUGUAGAAUGUGUUACCAGUUCUUAGCAUGCACCAAUUAUUUUAUUUUGCGUUUUUAAUGCAUCGCAUGAUUUCUUUUAUAACAAGACACCCUCCAAAGCAAUUCCACAGAGGCAGCGAGAGGUGUUCUCUCUAUACCUGUUUUUCCCCAUAUCUCUGGUUUUGAUUUCCUGAUAUACAGUUUAUAUAAAUACCACAAUAUGCCAGAUAUGAAAGAGAAAAGCGACAGAAGAAUCCAAUGGAAGAAUUUGGUGAAGAACAAGGUGCCUCUCUCUCUUUCUCAUGUGAACAUAGUAAGUUUAUUCCUGCACUUUGAUGUUACGAUUCAUGCUAAUGUAAACAUGAAUUGUGCACCUGGUACAGAACAGACUAUGCAUUGGAGGUUCAGAACCAAUUUCUAUGGGUAUGUACAAGCUGUUUUUAUUGCAUCUUGGUUUUAAAUUGGUGAAUUAGCAUAGCAUAUUGAAUGUUGAGCUUUAUUUCAUCUACAAUUGGUUCUGAACAUGUGUGCUUUUAACAAACUUUGUAUUCUUCUCUAUUUUGAAGAGCCCACAAAGAGACAAAAAAAUGGUGAUAGGUUCCUUUCUGUGGUUUAAGAACUCUGGGACUAGGCCAAACUAACUUUGUUGAACGAAUAACUUCCUCAUCUUAAAAUACAUUUGUGUUCGGCUGAUUUCAAGAUAAAUGUUUGAUCAUUGUCAGAUGAUCAACAUAUGGAUGUUAGUGAGAUUCAAGGGAAAGCGCGACACGACUGUGCCUUCUAUAAGCAAAGCUGAGCUGUUGAGGUAAUUGAUCUUUAGGUGCCUUCGAUAAGCACGCGACACAUCUGUAUGUUCUAUUCAUGUGGUUCCUUAUAUAAGUAUAUCUCAGCAAUAUGUGUCUUGUUUUACUUUUGUCCACGGUGACUAUGGCUGCAUUCUUGGCUUCAGUUAUUAUGUUUGAGUGUAAAAUUGGUUUUCUGAACUGAUGAAUAUGCUAAUUCAUCACUUGUCUCAUUUCUUCUUGCAAAUAGUUUCUACUCCAUGUGGAUAUGAGCUGCUAAGUUUUUUCAGUAACAAGUGUCCAUGUAAUUUUCUUUUGCUCGAGGCAGAUCAUAGCUUUUACGGUUUUAGAGGUGUUGCAAUAUUGAUUUCAGUUGUUCUCGUAUAUGGUUUUCAGAUUAUUCUAUCCUCAAGUAUUGGUUUAUUAUUGAGGAAGCCUUAAACGCAGGAGCUGAAUGUUGUUUUUUAUCUUUUGUCAAAGUCCUGAAUGGUCCAAUGAAAAUCUUGGUACGUACAGUUUCAGAGCUUCAUCCCAUUGUAGUAGGGCAAAAUGGUAUGCAGAGUGUUGAAAGCUUCAUUUUGGUCCAUUAGGUAGUUUAUAGCUUUGUCACUGGAGGUCUGACAAUAAUCGCAGCUUGUGAAAAUUAUAUAUGGCCAUGAGUGCUCAAUAGUUCUCCAUGCAACACAGCUAAUUAUUGAAUCUGUAAUACAUGCUUGUUUCUGGCAGAAGCUUAUUUGAUGAAUUAGCAUUGUGUAAAGUCUUUCUAAGCUCACUUCUCUUUUCUUUCUAUAAACUGGACGACCAGGAUAGAUUUCUCAAUACCAUUUUCGGAUUGUUUAAGCACUGAACAAUGUUAACAGGUUUACCAUUUCUCAUCUCUUUAUGAUAUGCGUAGGUAUUCUGGCAUCUCAAUUUGUCCCCAACCUCUUUCACCGGCCCAUAAAUUAUCUGUCUCUAGGUCUCCACAAUUGUAUUUUGGUGCAGAAAAACAAAGAACUAUUUUUGGCUCAGCUACUUUAUAGGUAUCGUGUACGUUGUCAUGGAUUUGAUGUCAUGUAGUUCCAGGUGUAUUAUUAUACUCCCAGUCUUAGUAUUAGAAAAACAAUAACUAUUUUUGCCUCAGCUACUUUAUAGGUAUCAUGUACGUUGUCAUGGAUUUGAUGUCAUGUAGUUCCAGGUGUAUUAUUAUACUCCCAGUCUUAGUAUAUGAAGGCGUGAUAUAAUGUUAC
This 2148-nucleotide long non-coding RNA is filed under the name Triticum aestivum (bread wheat). RNAcentral's name for it is "long non-coding RNA (TAES_LNC027206)". The record is from RNAcentral. Lineage: Eukaryota; Viridiplantae; Streptophyta; Magnoliopsida; Poales; Poaceae.